Molecule: ribosomal RNA, 498 nt
Filed under: uncultured bacterium
Lineage: Bacteria
Description: bacterial SSU rRNA
Rfam family: Bacterial small subunit ribosomal RNA
Source: RNAcentral
AGAGUUGAUCAUGGCUCAGGAUGAACGCUGGCGGCGUGCCUAACACAUGCAAGUCGAGCGGAGAUAAGUUGAAGCCUAGCGAUUCUUAUCUUAGCGGCGGAUGGGUGAGUAACACGUGGGUAACCUGCCCUGCACUGGGGAAUAACAGCUGGAAACGGCUGUUAAUGCCGCAUAUGCGCACGGAGCCGCAUGGCUUUGGGCGGAAAGAUUUAUCGGUGCAGGAUGGGCCCGCGCCGGAUUAACUAGUUGGCGGGGUAACGGCCCACCAAGGUGAUGAUCCGUAGCCGACCUGAGAGGGUGACCGGCCACAUUGGGACUGAGACACGGCCCAAACUCCUACGGGAGGCAGCAGUGGGGGAUAUUGCACAAUGGGGGAAACCCUGAUGCAGCGACGCCGCGUGAAGGAUGAAGUAUUUCGGUAUGUAAACUUCUAUCAGCGGGGAAGAAGAUGACGGUACCCGACUAAGAAGCCCCGGCUAACUACGUGCCAGCCGCUGC